Molecule: unclassified non-coding RNA, 310 nt
Filed under: Hevea brasiliensis (rubber tree)
Lineage: Eukaryota; Viridiplantae; Streptophyta; Magnoliopsida; Malpighiales; Euphorbiaceae
Source: RNAcentral
CCGGUGCUUUGAAUAUGAUACUUGAGACAAGACGCCAAAAACAGAAUCAACUACGUUAAAAUUAAAUACAGAAGAAUUCCAUUAUAGUUUAAGAGGGACUAAACUUCAAAAUACAAACUCGCUCUACAUCAGAUUUCACCUUUUGUGAAAGUUAAGUUUAUCCCGACUGAUGUUUACUUCCUAACGUGAUUAUAGACAAGCCUCAUUCCAAAUCAUAAAUCCAGAACAGGUCCAACACCAUACAAAAGAUGCAGCAAUUCAUCCAUAUUCCAUCUGAUAAACCAACUUCCAUUGACGGAAUGGUUGGAAA